Long non-coding RNA from Oncorhynchus tshawytscha (Chinook salmon), 6150 nucleotides. The record is from Ensembl. Lineage: Eukaryota; Metazoa; Chordata; Actinopteri; Salmoniformes; Salmonidae.
GCCGAGCCACAGUGGUCUGUCCCUAUCGCACCACGCGUCUCCUCGCCUCCAGCAACACCCCCUCUCCUCCUCACACACUGCCUCUACCUUCCCCUCCCAUCCCGGGGCUCUGCUCGGCUCUCUCUCCCCUCUCUACCACACAUAUACAUCAGUAUGUCUUUAGCACCGGUAGCGCUAUACAGUCAGCGAGCAGAGAAGCCCGUUUAGUAUUCCGAGCACAGGGGAAGAGAGGGAGGGAGGGGAGAGUGAAAUACAAAGAAAAAACGAGGGUGAGAAGACAGAAAACACAUUCCAAGACAAGAAAAUAGGAAAGAAUGAGAGGGGAGCGGAGAGAUACCAUAUUGUUCAUUUCUCCCUCUCAGUCUACCCCUCCGCCUUAUUCUUCAAUCCCAGGUUCGGCUACUCACCAUAAUAUCCUGUGUGAUCUUGUGUCACGUAAGUGUUAUAGUCUAUCUAUACUGUAGCUAUGUGCCACCUAACUGACUGUAUGUCUGUCCGGUUCAAAUAUAAAUUGUAUGCAUAUUUUGUGCAGUGAUGUGCGAAUGUAAUCUAUUCUAAUUUAAUGUAUAGCCCAUUGGUUGGAGCUUUAUGACAUGCAUAUGUAGCCUACACUGUAGGUUAUCUCUCGCACAAGUGUGCAGUGUGCAUAGCAUGUAUGUGGGUUUAUAUGUCUGUCGGAUGUAAGCCAUUGCUCUCAGAUAAAUCCAACUUUUGAAUGCAUGUAUAGGUGUAUAGGGCGAAACACACACGCAAGCACGCACACACACACACACACACACACACACACACACUCACACUCACACUCACACACACACACACACACACACACACACAUACAUACACACACACACACACACACACACACACACACACACACACACACACACACACACACACACACACACACACACACACACACACACACACACAUACACACACACACAGCAUGAGUAAGACAGGGGAAACAUGUAGGAGCUGAAACAAGUGUUAUUCCCCUCCACCCACACCCCCUUCACCCCCACCCCACCCCUCUCUCCUCUCCCUUCUCCCCCUCCCCCAUCCAAGGCACAGUGGCUCUGGCUUUAUGAGAUAGACUUCCAUAAUUAUGCAAAUAUGAAUACGCUCAUAUGUAACCAAAGUCACAAGGAUAGUCUCGAUGGCUCACUGACUUUGGCGUAAAUGUAAGUGAAGUAUGAAGCGAGGGCUAUCCACGUGCACUGUGUGGGUGGUGAGAAUGUUGCCAUCUUAGUAUUGGACCAGUGAGCUGCUCUGCAUACAUGGAUGUGCAGCUUCUUCCACCGGCUCUAGUCUGCACAGGAAGAGAGCGGAACCAGUAUCCCAGGGUUCCUCACUGGCCUCUCGCUCAGCUUGGUGCUCGUGCUGUGUUUCCUGUGUGACGAUAUAGAUAAUUUAGACACUCGCGGGAGCAGGCCUGGAGCAGCAGAGAGCCCUGCAUGCAGCACAGCAGACUUCUGUGUGUGUGUGUGUGUGUGUGUGUGUGUGUGUGUGUGUGUGUGUUUAUGUGAUGAUGUAUGGACAUAAACAGAAUAUUGAAACCUCCAACGUCAGAUAGUUGUACUAAAAGCUUGCCUAUGGGCUGUUACAGGCCAGCCUGGAGUAACCUAAAGGCUGAGUCGCAGGCAGCAAAGCUAUUACCUUUAGUCAAUAGACAUUAAUACAAGGUCUUCAAUCUUGGCCUUGUAUUUCUAGUGCCAUCUCACAGCCAAAUACAGGAAGCAGUCCUCUUUUGUAGCGGUAAAGGUAUUUGGUAGUAUCUAUUUACCCUAGUGCAUCAGUUUGACACAGUUGGAUGAGCAGAGAGCACAGAUGAUAUUGGCCCAGACAGACAUGACGCUGUGAUGCACUGGCCUCGAUAGGUAGGAAGUGAUGCAAAGGUCCAUGCCAGUGCUAUUGAGCAAAGGUCAUGACCUCUGUGUGAGUCACGGAGGGCCCUGCAUCCAGUGACUUCAUGUCUUAAAGGAUGAGUCUUGAGGUCGGAAGUGAUAGUGCGCUUAUAACACAAGUCCAUGGAAUACAGUAGAACAGACAGCACAGAACUAAGGAGAGGAUGGUAGAGUAGAGGAGAGGAUGGUAGAGUAGAGGAUGCUUGAGUAGAGUAGAGGAUGGUAGAGUAGAGUAGAGGAUGGUAGAGUAGAGUAGAGGAUGGUAGAGUAGAGGAGAGGAUGGUAGAGUAGAGUACAGGAUGGUUGAGUAGAGUAGAUAAUGGUAGAGUAGAGGAGAGGAUGGUAGAGUAGAGUAGAGGAUGGUUGAGUAGAGGAUGGUAGAGUAGAGUAGAGGAUGGUAGAGUAGAGUAGAGGAUGGUUGAGUAGAGUAGAGGAUGGUAGAGUAGAGUACAGGAUGGUUGAGUAGAGUAGAUAAUGGUAGAGUAGAGGAGAGGAUGGUAGAGUAGAGUAGAGGAUGGUUGAGUAGAGGAUGGUAGAGUAGAGUAGAGGAUGGUAGAGUAGAGUAGAGGAUGGUUGAGUAGAGUAGAGGAUGGUAGAGUAGAGUAGAGGAUGGGUGAGAAGAGUAGAGGAUGGUAGAGUAGAGUAGAGGAUGGUAGAGUAGAGGAGAGGAUGGUAGAGUAGAGUAGAGGAUGGUAGAGUAGAGGAUGGAGAGUAGAGUAGAGGAUGGUAGAGUAGAGUAGAGUAGAGGAUGGUAGAGUAGAGUAGAGGAUGGUUGCGUAGAGUAGAGGAUGGUAGAGUAGAGGAGAGGAUGGUAGAGUAGAGUAGAGGAUGGUAGAGGAGAGGAUGGUAGAGUAGAGUAGAGGAUGGUAGAGUAGAGUAGAGGAUGGUAGAUUAGAGUAGAGGAUGGUAGAGUAGAGGAGAGGAUGGUAGAGGAGAGGAUGGUAGAGUAGAGGAUGGUUGAGGAGAGGAGAGGAUGGUAGAGGAGAGGAUGGUAGAGGAGAGGAUGGUAGAGUGGAGAAGAGAAUGGUAGAGUAGAGGAGAGGAUGGUAGAGGAGAGGAGAGGAUGGUAGAGGAGAGGAGAGGAUGGUAAAGUAGAGGAGAGGAUGGUAGAGGAGAGGAGAGGAUGGUAGAAUAGAGGAGAGGAUGGUCGAGGAGAGAAGAGGAUGGUAGAGUAGAGAAGAGGAUGGUAGAAGAGAGGAGAGGAUGGUAGAGGAGAGGAUGGUAAAGUAGAGGAGAGGAUGGUAGAGAAGAGGAGAGGAUGGUAGAGUAGAUGAGAAGAUGGUAGAGGAGAGGAGAGGAUGGUAGAGGAGAGGAUGGUAGAGGAGAGGAGAGGAUGGUAGAGGAGAGGAUGGUAGAGGAGAGUAUGGUAGAGUAGAGGAGAGGAUGGUAUAGUAGAGGAGAGGAUGGUAGAGUAGAGGAUGGUAGAGUAGAGGAGAGGAUGGUAGAGUAGAGGAGAGGAUGGUAGAGGAGAGGAGAGGAUGGUAGAGUGAGGAGAAGAUGGUAGAGGGGAUGGGAGAGGAGAGGAGAGGAUGGUAGAGGAGAGGAGAGGAGAGGAUGGUAGAGUAGAGGAGAGGAUGUAGAGGAGAGGAGAGGAUGGUAGAGUAAAGGAGAAGAUGGUAGAGUAGAGGAGAGGAUGGUAGAGGAGAGGAAAGGAUGGUAGAGUAGAGCAGAGUAUAGUAGAGUAGAGGGAUGGUAGAGUAGAGUAGAGGAUGGUAGAGGAGAGGAUGGUAGAGUAGAGUAGAGGAUGGUAGAGAGAGGAUGGUAGAGUAGAGUAGAGGAUGGUAGAGUAGAGGAUGGUAAAGUAGAUGGUAGAGGAGAGGAUGGUAGAGUAGAGUAGAGGAUGAUAGAGGAGAGGAGAGGAUGGUAAAGUAGAGGAGAGGAUGGUAGAGUAGAGUAGAGGAUGGUAGAGUAGAGGAGAGGAUGGUAAAGGAGAGGAGAGGAUGGUAGAGUACAGGAUGGUAGAGUAGAAGAGAGGAUGGUAAAAUAGAGUAGAGGAUGGUAGAGUAGAGAAGAGGAUGGUAAAGUAGAGGAGAGGAUGGUAGAGUAGAGUAGAGGAUGGUAGAGUAGAGGAGAGGAUGGUAAAGGAGAGGAGAGGAUGGUAGAGUACAGGAUGGUAGAGUAGAAGAGAGGAUAGUAGAGUAGAGGAUGGUAGAGUAGAGAAGAGGAUGGUAAAUGAGAGGAGAGGAUAUAGAGUAGAGGAUGGUAGAGUAGAGUAGAGGAUGGUAAAGUAGAGUAGAGGAUGGUAAAAUAGAGUAGAGGAUGGUAGAGUAGAGAAGAGGAUGGUAAAGGAGAGGAGAGGAUGGUAGUGUAGAGUAGAGGAUGGUAGAGUAGAGGAUGGUAGAGGAGAGUAGAGGAUGGUAGAGUAGAGAAGAGGAUGGUAAAUGAGAGGAGAGGAUUAUAGUGUAGAGGAUGGUAGAGGAGAGGAUGGUAGAGUAGAGGAUGGUAGAGUAGAGGAGAGGAUGGUAGAGUAGAGUAGAGGAUGGUAGAGUAGAGGAUGGUAGAGGAGAGGAGAGGAUGGUAAAGGAGAGGAGAGGAUGGUAGAGUAGAGGAUGGUAGAGGUGAGGAGAGGAUGGUAGAGUAGAGGAGAGGAUGGUAGAGUACAGUAGAGGAUGGUAGAGUAUAGUAGAGGAUGGUAGAGUAGAGGAUGGUAGAGGAGAGGAGAGGAUGGUAAAGUAGAGUAGAGGAUGGUAGAGUAGAGAAGAGGAUGGCAAAGGAGAGGAGAGGAUGGUAGAGUAGAGGAUGGUAGAGGAGAGGAGAGGAAGGUAGAGUAGAGGAUAGGAUGGUAGAGUAGAGGAUGGUAUAGUAGAGUAGAGGAUGGUAGAGUAGAGUAGAGGAUGGUAGAGGAGAGGAGAGGUGAGGAUGGUAGAGUAGAGUAGAGGAUGGUAGAGUAGAAGAGAGGAUGGUAGAGUAGAGGAGAGGAUGGUAAAGGAGAGGAGAGGAUGGUAGAGUAGAGGAGAGGAUGGUAGAGUAGAGUAGAGGAUGGUAGAGUAGAGGAUGGUAGAGUAGAGGAGAGGAUGGUAAAGGAGAGGAUGGUAGAGUAGAGGAGAGGAUGGUAAAGGAGAGGAGAGUAUGGUAGAGUACAGGAUGGUAGAGUAGAGGAUGGUAGAGUAGAAGAGAGGAUGGUAAAGUAGAGUAGAGGAUGGUAGAGUAGAGAAGAGGAUGGUAAAUGAGAGGAGAGGAUAUAGAGUAGAGGAUGGUAGAGUAGAGUAGAGGAGAGGAUGGUAAAGUCGAGUAGAGGAUGGUAAAGUAGAGUAGAGGAUGGUAGAGUAGAGAAGAGGAUGGUAAAGGAGAGGAGAGGAUGGUAAAGGAGAGGAGAGGAUGGUAGAGUAGAGUAGAGUAGAGUAGAGGAUGGUAGAGUAGAGAAGAGGAUGGUAAAGGAGAGGAGAGGAUUAUAGUGUAGAGGAUGGUAGAGGAGAGAAGAGGAUGGUAAAGGAGAGGAGAGGAUGGUAAAGGAGAGGAGAGGAUGGUAGAGUAGAGUAGAGGAUGGUAGAGGAGAGUAGAGGAUGGUAAAGGAGAGGAGUGGAUGGUAGAGUAGAGUAGAGGAUGGUAGAGUAGAGAAGAGGAUGGUAAAGCAGAGGAGAGGAUGGUAGAGUAGAGUAGAGGAUGGUAGAGGAGAGGAGAGGAUGGUAGAGUAGAGUAGAGGAUGGUUGAGUAGAGAAGAGGAUGGUAAAGGAGAGGAGAGGAUUAUAGUGUAGAGGAUGGUAGAGGAGAGAAUGGUAGAGUAGAGGAGAGGAUGGUAGAGUAGAGUAGAGGAUGGUAGAGUAGAGAAGAGGAUGGUAAAGGAGAGGAGAGGAUUAUAGUGUAGAGGAUGGUAGAGGAGAGAAUGGUAGAGUAGAGGAGAGGAUGGUAGAGUAGAGUAGAGGAUGGUAGAGUAGAGAAGAGGAUGGUAAAGGAGAGGAGAGGAUGGUAGAGGUGAGGAGAGGAUGGUAGAGUAGAGGAGAGGAUGGUAGAGUACAGUAGAGGAUGGUAGAGUAGAGUAGAGGAUGGUAGAGUAGAGGAUGGUAGAGGAGAGGAGAGGAUGGUAGAGUAGAGUAGAGGAUGGUAGAGUAGAGUAAUGGAUGGUAGAGUAGAGGAGAAGAUGGUAGAGUAGAGGAGAGGAUGGUAGAGGAGAGUAGAGGAUGGUAGAGUAGAGUAGAGGAUGGUAGAGUAGAGGAGAAGAUGGUAGAGUAGAGGAAAGGAUGGUAAAGGAGAGGAGAGGAUGGUAGAGUAGAGGAUGGUAGAGGAGAGAGAAGGAUGGUAGAGAGGA